GCCAAAACUUUAAACCCACCACACAACCACAAAAUAUUUUACCACACAACCAAACCAUUUACCAAAGCCAGUAAAUGAGAUUAAAAACUGCCUUUAGGCGAAUAUAAUUAGUACCGUAAGGGAACAAUGAAAAAACAAUGAAAACUUAAGCAAAACACAGCAAAGAUCUACCCUUGUACCUCUUGCAUCAUGGUUUAGCAAACGCCCACAGACAAAGAGAACUUAAGCCUGCCACCCCGAAACUAAACGAGCUAUUUUAAAGCAGCAAUAACCAGAGCGAACCCGUCCCUGUAGCAAAAGGGUGGGAAGACUUAAAAAUAGAGGUAAAAGACCAACCGAGUUUAGUGAUAGCUGGUUGCUCAACAAAAGAAUUUAAGUUCAACUUUAGGCCAAAAAGAAUCAACAAAAAGCAACAAAUUAAGCCAAAAGACAUUCAAUGGGGGUACAGCCCCAUCGAGCCGGCAUACAGUCCGAAUUGAGAGAACGAACACUACUAACUAACCAGUGGGCUUCUAGGCAGCCAUCAACAAAUAAUCGCGUUACAGCUAACCUUAACAAAUCCCAUUAAAAAUCUCACUCUCCAAAAACAUAUGAGCUAUUCUAUAACCAUAUAGAAAUACCAAUGCUAAAACUAGUAAUAAGAACAAAAUCUCUUAAGCACCCCCUUAAGUCAGAAAGGAAAAACCACUGAUAAUUAACAAACACCAACAACCACUAAUAAACCAAAAUGUCAUAUACUCUGUUAAACCGACACAGGAGUGCAAAAAAGAAAGACAAAAAGCUGCAAAAGGAACUCGGCAAAAAAAGUCUCAACUGUUUACCAAAAACAUAGCCUUUAGCUUUACAAGUAUUAAAGGUCCCGCCUGCCCAGUGAUAUUUUAAACGGCCGCGGUAUCCUAACCGUGCAAAGGUAGCAUAAUCACUUGUCCCCUAAAUAGGGACUGGAAUGAACGGCUACAUGAAGACUUUACUGUCUCUUGCUGCUAGUCAAUGAAACUGAUCUCCCAGUACAAAAGCUGGGAUAACCUCAUAAGACAAAAAGACCCUGUGGAGCUUUUAAACCAAGUACACCAAAAUGUUCUACCACGGUUUUUAGUUGGGGCGACUUCGGAACAAAAUAAAACUUCCGAAACCAUGGAAUCAUACCCAUAUUUAAGGCCAACACGCCAAGAUUAGCCAUCUAUUUGACCCAGUUUACCACAUACUGAUCAAUGAACCAAGUUACCCCAGGGAUAACAGCGCCAUCUUCUUUUAGAGUCCAUAUCGACAAGAAGGUUUACGACCUCGAUGUUGGAUCAGGACACCCAAAUAGUGCAGCCGCUAUUAAAGGUUCGUUUGUUCAACGAUUAAUAGUCCUACGUGAUCUGAGUUCAGACCGGAGAAAUCCAGGUCGGUUUUUAUCUAUGACGCACUAUUUUCAGUACGAAAGGACCAAAAUAGCAGGACCUAUAUCAAAACACACGUCCUAGAACUCAAAUAAUUGAAAUAAUCUAAAAUUAACUAACACACCUCAUCCUCCCCAAAACCAGGGCUU
Molecule: ribosomal RNA, 1534 nt
Filed under: Psammodromus algirus
Lineage: Eukaryota; Metazoa; Chordata; Lepidosauria; Squamata; Lacertidae
Description: partial large subunit ribosomal RNA
Rfam family: Bacterial large subunit ribosomal RNA
Source: RNAcentral